This 505-nucleotide ribosomal RNA is filed under the name uncultured bacterium. RNAcentral describes it as "partial 16S ribosomal RNA". It matches the Rfam family "Bacterial small subunit ribosomal RNA", at positions 28 to 507 of the family's 1533-position model. The record is from RNAcentral.
GACGAACGCUGGCGGCGUGCCUAAUACAUGCAAGUCGAACGCACAGUUUAUACCGUAGCUUGCUACACCAUAGACUGUGAGUUGCGAACGGGUGAGUAACGCGUAGGUAACCUGCCUGGUAGCGGGGGAUAACUAUUGGAAACGAUAGCUAAUACCGCAUAAUAUUAAUUAUUGCAUGAUAAUUGAUUGAAAGAUGCAACUGCAUCACUACCAGAUGGACCUGCGUUGUAUUAGCUAGUAGGUGAGGUAACGGCUCACCUAGGCGACGAUACAUAGCCGACCUGAGAGGGUGGUCGGCCAGACUGGGACUGAGACACGGCCCAGACUCCUACGGGAGGCAGCAGGAGGGAAUCUUCGGCAAUGGACGAAAGUCUGACCGAGCAACGCCGCGUGAGUGAAGAAGGGUUUCGGAUCGUAAAGCUCUGUUGUAAGAGAAGAACGGGUGUGAGAGUGGAAAGUUCACACUGUGACGGUAGCUUACCAGAAAGGGACGGCUAACUACGUG